AGAAAUCUAGCCUGCAACCGGGUUUUAAAUGUGGUGGAAGUUACAGUCCACCGUGUGUAUCAAUCUGAACUACUUUAACCCCUGGAGCCCUGGCAGACUAUAGCUGCGGCCUACUGGUGAGCUUUGGUUGGAGGGAAAAGCUGAUUCUCUGCACUGAACUAAACCUGAUCGCCUUGAAGCCCUUUUUCCACCCCCUCUGAACCGGUGGGGGAUAUUCCGGUCCCCACUACCGACUUGCCUGUAACUCAGCAGAGUACUUACUUGUGUGAACGCCGAACUCAGAUAGAG
Non-coding RNA from Pelobates cultripes (western spadefoot toad), 288 nucleotides. The record is from the annotation of a GenBank genome assembly. Lineage: Eukaryota; Metazoa; Chordata; Amphibia; Anura; Pelobatidae.